AUUAGAUGACCGAAAGUAAGUAUAGGUCUUUUAAACCUACUAUAGUAGUUGCGCCUACUUCUAAUAU
RNAcentral lists this transfer RNA (67 nucleotides) under Saron marmoratus. RNAcentral describes it as "tRNA-Lys". Lineage: Eukaryota; Metazoa; Arthropoda; Malacostraca; Decapoda; Hippolytidae. The record is from RNAcentral.